This is a long non-coding RNA of Girardinichthys multiradiatus, 544 nucleotides long. RefSeq lists it as uncharacterized. NCBI's taxonomy places the organism in Eukaryota, Metazoa, Chordata, Actinopteri, Cyprinodontiformes, Goodeidae. The record is from RefSeq and is a predicted model, not a curated record. The transcript is spliced from 3 exons.
AGAUGCCGUCUGAGCUCCGGAGGUGAGAAGGAACAGGUGCUCGCUCAUCAGAGAGGAGGAGGAUACGAGAGCAGCUCGCCAGCACUCCUACGCCUGAGUGUUUGCCUAUUGUGGCUUGACUCCAGUCCGGCUACGGCUCUGUUGAUUCCUCGUUGUGCUGAUUUCCUCGUCUCAAGUUCCAAGUGAAGUUCCUGGAUUCCGUUUCCAGCUGGCGACGGCUAAAACCUCAUCCUUUCUGGCUCAAGACCCAAGCGAACCCUGUCCCCCCUCCGACGUACUUACCUCCGAGCCCGGCACCUAUACUCGUCAUUCAAUAAGAAAACAAACCCCAGAAAAACCUCACCACUGUGUGAAGGAACUUAACCCUGUAUGCUGAGUGAAGGAUUGGGUGGAAUACAACUUCAAGCGGGCACAGAAUUCAUCCAUCCGACCCCACUUUGUCUCCCUCUCAUACUAAGCUCCAUCCAUCCAACCAUGGAUGCGAUCCAGUUCCAGUUCCUGUUAUCAUAUCGAUUCAUCAAAAAUAAACUAUUUCUUUUUCUCC